Molecule: long non-coding RNA, 1057 nt
Filed under: Paramuricea clavata
Lineage: Eukaryota; Metazoa; Cnidaria; Anthozoa; Malacalcyonacea; Plexauridae
Source: RNAcentral
UUUCUUUAGUAUUUCUCAAACUUUUGCGGGUGAAUAAUGUUCAGAAUUACCUCUGCAUUACUUUAAAUCACUCAUAUUUGUUUUAUCUGCAGUUUUAGAGCGAAAAUUUGACGAGAAAGUUAACUGAUUCAAUCGCCGAACUGCCGAAGGCUUCGGUCGAAGCACGCGGUAAGCAUAACAAUGUCCAUUAAACUAAAGCUCGUGUUCCUUGUUUAUUACUGGUAUUUUAAACUUCCUUAUACAACUACAACUUUUUGGUAGCAUUUUCAAAAUGUUUUCUAAACUUUUUUAAAAAUAUGGUGGAAAUUUUUGUCCGUAAUUCGUAAAGCGAAAUGCCGCAUCCAUUUAUUUAAUACUUAGGGCUUUUGAAUUCGAGAUGAAUGCCUCUACUCGCCAUGUCCCUUGAAAGUAUGUUUUAAAUUAAUAUAUCUAAAUUCUUUUUUAUUGCAGCCUACAGCUCAAAACCCAUCAUCUAGAAAGCGAACGGCAAAGAAAAUCCAGUGAAAAACAAGUUGAAAAAGACCAUGAUUCCAUGAAAGGCAAUUACAAAUUAAAACAGAUAGACAAUUGUGACGGAGAUCUUUCGUUGGUGCCAAGUGCCAACUGCUGAACCGUAUGGCUAUCAAGCUCGCAAAGUAUCGACGUUGCGUCCGAUACAUUGGUCGAACACUAUAUCCAAUGCACAAUACCAAAGCCUGACAGUGAUGGAGCGGCCAGUGUGCCAAGUUUAAGUGGGAUGCAAAGAAUUUGUCAAGCCCCAACAGACGUUAUACCAUGCUCAGAGACUACCAAAUCGAGAUGCCCAACCAGUUAGCCACACCCCCAAAACAAAGACCACGCACAAAACUGAAGGAUGCCUACUAUUAGCCUAAAGAUUUCAGAUGUGUCGAAAGUACGUGGGGGCCACCCUGAGAACGCCCAAAUGCACAAAACAAAUUUAAACGUGGCAUAUUUUCAAUAAUUUCGAAACUUUAUUUCAAUUUUACACUUUUUUAGUAUUUGUGAGAAGCUCUUUAACGAAAUCAAAAAUUUUUGAAAUCCGAAAGGUUUUAUCUGG